GGAGGUGAAAGUCUCACCAGGUAAACUGUAGGCUUGGCCCCAGCUGGACGCCAGUCUGCAUAGGUGUGGCUCUCAACAGAAGGCCAAGUGUCCUUGAAAAGGGCUUGUUAUAAGUCACAGAAGAUGCCCUGUGCCUUCAGGAACUGAGGACAAAGCCCAUAAUCUAAAGAACCUGCCAUAUCCCUAAUCACUUGUAAUGAGCGGUUUGGGAGUUACAAGGCAGGAAACAUAAAUGAACAUCAAAAUGUGUAUUUCUUAGACCAUGGUGUGGUGGUUGUAUCAUGUGAUAGCUGCUUACCUAUCACUGGCUCACCUGAACAAUGAUUCUAGUCUCUCUCCCAGAGCCCUACCUUAGGAUCCCUCAUUAAGAAGUUUGCCUCCGGGGCUGGGGAUUUAGCUCAGUGGUAGAGCGCUUACCUAGGAAGCGCAAGGCCCUGGGUCCCCAGCUCCGGAAAAAAAAGAACCAAAAAAAAAAAAAAAAAAAAAGAAGUUUGCCUCCAAGGGUUGGGGAUUUAGCUCAGCGGUAGAGCGCUUGCCUAGCACACACACACACAUGCACACAUACACGCAAGCACACACAAGCACACUCGCACACACAUACAUGCACAUGCACACACACACAUGUAAGCACACACACAUGUACAGACACACACGCACUGUGUUUUAAAAAGAAAAUAAAACUUAAAAGAACUACUGAAAAGUCACACCACUAAUAGUCAACGGGUUCGCUUCUAAAACACCUAUUUUCUUUCUUACAGGAUUGAGAGGUUGCAUCUAACCUUGAAGUCAGAGGUGUCUUGGUUCACAUCUAGCUCCCUCCGGGCUGUGAGACCUUUGGUUAGCUAGAAGAGUUUAAUGGGGUUUGACUCUGUCACUCAGAGACGCUAACACUAUUUCAUGGGUGGCCAUGGUGGUUUUAAAUAAGCCAAUGCACGUGAAGCCUCUAUUGAGUCCGCAGUAUGUAUCCCGCACAUACUAGUGCAAAAUCAUUUCCAAGGAAAGUUCACAACAUGGACUGGCUGAACAAUUCUCUUGUAAAAGGAUUUGAUCUAGAAGUGGUUUUCUUCAUUCUUAUCCCCCACCCCGCAUGUCUGUGUGUGUAUGUGUGCGUGUGUGUGUGUGUGUGUGUGUGUGUGUCUAUAUGUGUGUGGUGUGUGUGCAUGUGGUAUGUGUGCUCAUGGUAGUGUGCUCUAUAUGUUGUAGUGUAUGUAUGUGUGUAUGCUCUGUGUGUAUGUAUUAUGUGUGCUGUUUGUGUCUAUAUGUGUGUGUGCUGUGUGUGUUCAUGGUGUGUGCACUCUAUAUGUAUGUAGUGUGUGUGUAUAUAUGCUAUAUAAGUAUUAUGUGCAUGUAUGUAUGUAGUAUGUGUGCUGUGUGUGUACGUAUCUGUGUGUGUAUGUAAUGUGUGAGUGUCUGUGUGUGUGGUGUGUGUGUCUGAGUGUGUGCAUGUGGUAUAUGUGCUCUAUAAGUAUGUAGUAUGUACAUGUAUAUGUGCAUGUAUGCAUGUAGUAUGUUGCUGUGCAUGUCUGAAUGUGUGUAUACUGUAAGUGUAUGUAUGUAUGGUGUGUGUAGGUGUGUGUAGGUGUGUGUGUGUGUGUGUGUGUGUGUGUGUGUGUGUGUGUGUGUGUAGGUACUCCUUCCACUGUGGGCUUCAGGAAUCCAGCUCAGGCUUACGCAGCACUUUUACCAGCUGAGCUGUCUCCUGCCCUGGAUCUAAAGUUUUAAAGUCUCUUAUUUUUAGGUCAUUGGGCCCAUUGCUUUUAGGUCACUUGUCUGGUGCACAUUCAGCUGCCAUUACCACGUGACCUCCCAGGGAACUUCCUGUCCUUCCUGCUGUUUUAGUGGUUUGCUGGUGCAAAGUCAGGGAUUUCAAAGCUGUAGCUCAAGGUGGAGUUUUAUCAUGCAGCCGGAAUUCGCUUUCCUGGUUGCAACAAUGUUAACAACUGAAAUUCAAAAUAGGAUGUUUUCUAUUCAGUUCCUUCUCAGACUCUUUCUCUACACAGAAAAAACGUGGGUAGCAGAUACAUUGAGUGGAGAGAAGAUUCUGAGUAAAACCCUACUGGUGGUUUUGACUGAGAACUUAAAACUUUACUUUCGUUAUUACCAGACAGGAUCAACUGUCAUUGAAAGCAAGACAAAACAAGAAUAGCGGUUCACCCUGAAGAGUAAUUCCAGCAUUGAAGAAAAUCAGAUGUUAUAGCCAUACAUGUACAAAAUAAUUUUAGUGUAACUUUUAAAGUAAGAUUAAGAUUUCUGAAAGUUAUUAAGUUAAUAUACCAAGUAUCAGGUGUCAUCGUGUCUCUUUCAUACUUAGUUAUUAUAUUAUAACUAUAUUAUAUUAUAUUAAUAACUAUAAAUUAUUUGCUAGCUCCAGGAUUCUGACUUCAGAGCCUACGCUGGAGUUAUACUGAAGGACUUGGAAUAAACUGAAGUUGGAAAUCACAUUAGGAUUUCAUAGAAGGUCCUAGGCUAAGUAUUGAUAACAGACAUGAAGAUAAGGAUACAGUCCCUGCACAGGACAGCCCUAGACUUGAUGGUGUGAGAAGACAAAGAAGACGUAUAUUUUCCAGGAAGGUAAGAUAAAAAGACAAGACAGAAUCCCAGGCCUACCUACCAACCAGCAGCCUCUUCUCUCGCUGAGCUGGAAUCCCAGUUUGAAGACGGGGACUUCCAAUUUCAUGUGUUUGCCAGAUUCCCUCAUCCGUGACUUGUGAACACCCGAGAGUCAAAGAAAGAGUCCUCAUGCUUUUUCUGAGACCUUCUGGACCCAGCACUCACAUGCUGACUGGCUGAUCGCUGACCUGCCCCGUGUUUUUAUGAGGAGCUUGAUAAGUAUGUGGUUGUGAGUUAAGGUAACUGGAGUGAAAAGGCUAGACUUGGUGUCUGUAAGCUAGCCAAAGGGGAGUUAUGACCAUAGCAGUAUGGUGUUAUGGCUUUUAGACUAGUAACUCCCCAUGUUUAACGUGCAUCAUCAACCCUCUGCAUACAGUUGCAGAAUCGUCCUGUCCACCCUGUUGGAUCAUCACAGAGGAGCUCAGAUAGCAGCUCUGGAGCCAUUUGAUGGAGACAUACACAGCUCAUUUCCCAACUUCAACACAGUGGCUAUUUUGCUUCUCAGAGUAGCAAAGAGUAAUAAUUUCAACAAUUGACCUCAUGCUUCGAGUGCUAACAAACUAAA
Rattus norvegicus (Norway rat) is the source of this 3175-nucleotide non-coding RNA. Lineage: Eukaryota; Metazoa; Chordata; Mammalia; Rodentia; Muridae. The record is from RefSeq and is a predicted model, not a curated record.